Long non-coding RNA from Triticum dicoccoides, 778 nucleotides. RefSeq lists it as uncharacterized. The transcript is spliced from 7 exons. NCBI's taxonomy places the organism in Eukaryota, Viridiplantae, Streptophyta, Magnoliopsida, Poales, Poaceae. The record is from RefSeq and is a predicted model, not a curated record.
GCCGUGGGGUGCUCUUCUUGGAAGACGGUUAGCGGAGCGUGGAAUUAUAGUCGCUUGCAUUGAUUAUAGAAAUUUGCCCCAAGGAACAAUAAGUGACAUGGUCAGUGAUGCUUUUGAGGCAUUUUCAUUUAUUUGUGAUACUAUUGCUAGCUAUGGAGGAGAUCCUAAUCAGAACUAUGCGCCGCACUUGAAUAUUUGAUCCUUUUGGGCGGUGAUUCUAUCCAAAGUCGUUGUUGUGACGUCAGUGAGCAACCUCGGGCACCACACUGAGUGCUACCGCCUCCCCACCACUCAUGACGCCAGGCUGUUCUACUUCUUCGAAUUCAGGUGGCACAAGGAGGACCCAGUGGUGAUCUGGCUGAUGGGAUGGCCCGGCUACUGCAGUGAGCUAGCCCUCUUCUACGAGAACGGCGCCUUCCACAUAGCAGACAACAUGUCGCUACUCUGGAAUGAGUUUGGUUGGGAUCAGGGAGGCGUGCAACGACGGCAUGAAGAACAACAUCGAGACCAUACGUUCGGUUUCUCUGUGCCCGCUCUGCUGCCAUCCACACCCGCACUAUCCCAGCUCGUGUGCCGGCUCGAGGAGAAGCUCAGGCCGCCACCACACAGAGGGAGAGGAACCCAAGAUGAAUCUAUCCCGCCUUACUGUCCAUGACCCGACGACAGAGACAGCUACUUCGAGCCUAGGCUCGUCGGCGGGGCAGUGCAAGGCGUAACUCCGACGUGGUUCCUCGCCGGUUGGACGGUGUUCAGGCGCAACCCGGUGCCCACUGAGUAC